AAAUUCUAACUUAUGUUUAAAGAUUAAUUGUUUCAAAAGGAAUUAUAACUUCAAAAAGGAUUUUAAAAUGAGGUUUUGCUUAAACAUACCCCGUCUUUCAACGGUGAAGAAUAUAACUAUUAGAAAGCAAGAGUGAAUUUUUUCUUAAAAUUGUUAAUUUUGAUGAGUGUGAUUCGAUUAAAAAUGAUUUAUUUAUUUCUAAUUAUUUUGUAAAUAAUGAAGUGGUGAAUAAACUAAGAGCUCUUUUGACCGUAUAAAAA
RNAcentral lists this long non-coding RNA (260 nucleotides) under Lathyrus oleraceus (garden pea). RNAcentral's name for it is "Pisum sativum (pea) long non-coding RNA (PSAT_LNC007436)". The record is from RNAcentral. Lineage: Eukaryota; Viridiplantae; Streptophyta; Magnoliopsida; Fabales; Fabaceae.